Molecule: RNase P RNA, 496 nt
Filed under: Phormidium sp. FACHB-592
Lineage: Bacteria; Bacillati; Cyanobacteriota; Cyanophyceae; Oscillatoriales; Oscillatoriaceae
Also listed under: 1 other name
Description: RNase P RNA component class A
Rfam family: Bacterial RNase P class A
About the family: Ribonuclease P (RNase P) is a ubiquitous endoribonuclease, found in archaea, bacteria and eukarya as well as chloroplasts and mitochondria. Its best characterised activity is the generation of mature 5'-ends of tRNAs by cleaving the 5'-leader elements of precursor-tRNAs.
Source: RNAcentral
AGAGUAAGCGCAGGCGGUUGCGGGCUGUUGCAAGAGCUUUGUGCGCUUGACGACAGCCCGAGGAAAGUCCGGGCUUCCGAAAGACCAAACUUGCUGGGUAACGCCCAGUGCGAGCGAUCGUGAGGAUAGUGCCACAGAAACAUACCGCCGAUUGAAGGGCUGAAGGCUGUAGGUUGCUUCUGCGGAGCAGCAGGAUAAAAGCUAAAUCACGUUUUUAUCCUUCAUACCUUAGCCUUUAGACUUUCAAGGUAAGGGUGCAAAGGUGCGGUAAGAGCGCACCAGCAGCAUCGAGAGGUGCUGGCUCGGUAAACCCCGGUUGGAAGCAAGGCUGCGGAACACUGGUUGGUCUUUUCCCAGUUCCAUGCAGAGGUAGGAGCGAUCCUAUUUUUGCCCGUCCGCUUGAGGUACCUGGUAACAGGUAUCCCAGAUAGAUAACUGCCCUCCUGGGUGCUAUGCAUUUGGGAGAACAGAACCCGGCUUAUGUCUUGCUCUCCUU